This 663-nucleotide transfer RNA is filed under the name uncultured bacterium. RNAcentral's name for it is "16S-23S intergenic spacer". The stretch from base 126 to 199 matches the Rfam family "tRNA". The record is from RNAcentral.
UCAAAGAAAUAUUAUUAAGAUUUGUUUCUUAAUAUAUAAAUAAAAAGAAAAAACUACUUUUAACAACAUAUAUUUAGUUUGUAAAGAUUAUUUGAAGAACUACAAAUAAUUUAUAGGUAAAUAUGGGGCCUAUAGCUCAGCUGGCUAGAGCGCUCGACUGAUAAUCGUGAGGUCUCAGGUUCAAGUCCUGAUAGGCCCACCAUCAUGGGGAAUUAGCUCAGCUGGGAGAGCGCCUGCUUUGCACGCAGGAGGUCAGCGGUUCGAUCCCGCUAUUCUCCACCAUAUACAUAUAAAUAAUAGAAAUUAGAUAUAAGCUUUUAUAUAUAAGAGUUUAUAUCUGGUUUUAAUCAGAAACGUUACCUUGAAUAAAUUAGUUAUUUAAAGUAGUAUGAUAUUUAAAAAUAUAAUGUUAAAGUCUUUAAAAUUUUUUCGUAAAGUUAAAUAGAAAUAUUUAAUUUUAAAUAAAAAAAUUUCAUAUCUAAAAUUUAAUAGAGAUAUUAAAAACUAUAGAUAACACAACUAACUUAUUAGAAUAUGUACUUGUAUAUAUGGUUUAAUAAGAUAGUAGCCAAAGAAUAUUAUCAAAUUUAGAGUAAUUUUAAUUAAUUACUCUAGGCAAGAAAAGAAAUCUAAAUUUAUUUAGAUUUUAUUAUAAGCUAUUAA